Molecule: ribosomal RNA, 676 nt
Filed under: uncultured Curvibacter sp.
Lineage: Bacteria; Pseudomonadati; Pseudomonadota; Betaproteobacteria; Burkholderiales; Comamonadaceae
Description: bacterial SSU rRNA
Rfam family: Bacterial small subunit ribosomal RNA
Source: RNAcentral
AGUGGCGAACGGGUGAGUAAAGUAUCGGAACGUGCCCAGUCGUGGGGGAUAACGUAGCGAAAGUUACGCUAAUACCGCAUACGAUCUAUGGAUGAAAGCGGGGGAUCGCAAGACCUCGCGCGAUUGGAGCGGCCGAUAUCAGAUUAGGUAGUUGGUGGGGUAAAGGCUCACCAAGCCGACGAUCUGUAGCUGGUCUGAGAGGACGACCAGCCACACUGGGACUGAGACACGGCCCAGACUCCUACGGGAGGCAGCAGUGGGGAAUUUUGGACAAUGGGCGCAAGCCUGAUCCAGCCAUGCCGCGUGCAGGAUGAAGGCCUUCGGGUUGUAAACUGCUUUUGUACGGAACGAAAAGGUUUGGCCUAAUAAGCUGAGCUCAUGACGGUACCGUAAGAAUAAGCACCGGCUAACUACGUGCCAGCAGCCGCGGUAAUACGUAGGGUGCGAGCGUUAAUCGGAAUUACUGGGCGUAAAGCGUGCGCAGGCGGUUAUGUAAGACAGAUGUGAAAUCCCCGGGCUCAACCUGGGAACUGCAUUAGUGACUGCAUAGCUGGAGUACGGCAGAGGGGGAUGGAAUUCCGCGUGUAGCAGUGAAAUGCGUAGAUAUGCGGAGGAACACCGAUGGCGAAAGGCAAUCCCUCUGGGCCUGUACUGACGCUCAUGCACGAAAGCGUGG